GCCAGUGUGGCUUAGUGGUUUGAGUGCUAGACUACAACUCUAGAGACUCGGGUUCAAAUCCCAGCUCAGCUA
Molecule: non-coding RNA, 72 nt
Organism: Phrynosoma platyrhinos (Desert horned lizard)
Lineage: Eukaryota; Metazoa; Chordata; Lepidosauria; Squamata; Phrynosomatidae
Source: the annotation of a GenBank genome assembly